This 603-nucleotide ribosomal RNA is filed under the name uncultured bacterium. Its description in RNAcentral is "bacterial SSU rRNA". It matches the Rfam family "Bacterial small subunit ribosomal RNA", at positions 318 to 886 of the family's 1533-position model. The record is from RNAcentral.
UUUUCCCNRKUCCCNNCNGUUGUAAAACGACGGCCAGUGAAUUCGAGCUCGGUACCUCGCGAAUGCAUCUAGAUUCCUACGGGAGGCAGCAGUGGGGAAUAUUGCACAAUGGGCGAAAGCCUGAUGCAGCAACGCCGCGUGAGCGAUGAAGGCCUUCGGGUCGUAAAGCUCUGUCCUAAGGGAAGAAAUUUGACGGUACCUUGGGAGGAAGCCCCGGCUAACUACGUGCCAGCAGCCGCGGUAAUACGUAGGGGGCAAGCGUUAUCCGGAAUCACUGGGCGUAAAGGGUGCGUAGGCGGUCUUACAAGUCAGGGGUGAAAGGCUACGGCUCAACCGUAGUAAGCCUUUGAAACUGUAGGACUUGAGUGCAGGAGAGGAAAGUGGAAUUCCUAGUGUAGCGGUGAAAUGCGUAGAUAUUAGGAGGAACACCAGUGGCGAAGGCGACUUUCUGGACUGUAACUGACGCUGAGGCACGAAAGUGUGGGGAGCGAACAGGAUUAGAUACCCUGGUAGUCCACACCGUAAACGAUGAGUGCUAGGUGUUGGGGGUCAAACCUCAGUGCCGCAGCUAACGCAUUAAGCACUCCGCCUGGGGAGUACGCU